Cucumis melo (muskmelon) is the source of this 246-nucleotide non-coding RNA. The record is from RefSeq and is marked provisional. Lineage: Eukaryota; Viridiplantae; Streptophyta; Magnoliopsida; Cucurbitales; Cucurbitaceae.
UGCUUAUCACUUUGCGUACUCAGACGAUCUAAAUUCUUCAUCAGCAUUUGUUGCUGUUGUUGUUUUUCUGCUUGAAUACUCAAUCGCUCUAUGUUUUUCACUAUCGAAGAUAUGGUAGCUUCUGCAAAUCCACUUUCAUCUCAGAAACUUUCUGUUAUAGUGCUUCAAAUCUUUCUUCGUGCUUCUUCGCCAUCUUCUUCUGCUUUACCAGGAUUUUCGCUCUGAUACCAAUAUGAUGGAACCCGG